GAAGCUUUUAGAUUCUGUGAAACCCUAGGGACCGGACUUGCAGCUAUAAGAAAACUGAAUUGCCAUUUGCUUCUUCCAUCUUCUGUUUCCAGCCGCCACCAUAGACAGUAGACACUGUACCAAAACCCUGGGGUUUAGAUAUUGUUCUUGAUUCCUUGCCGUUAUUGUUGUAUUAAUUGUAUAUAAGCAUAUAUGGGUUAUGAUUAUAAAGAGAGAGGGCUUAAGUGGGAUCUUCAACAAAACCCAUUUGGAUUUGGAGGUUAAAAAGAUGGAAAGAAAGGCAGACACAAAAGAAGAAGAAGCCGCCACUCAGAGAGUAAGGCUUUGGUUUCUCUUCAAAAAUUUGUUGUUUGGAAAAUGGUGAGGUAAUUAGGCAGCGGCCAGACAACCGUAGGGAUGGUAUCCACAGAUGACGGGUCCUUUUUCCCGCUUUGUCUACUGAUUCCAUCUCACAUUUCUUACAUUUGAUGGUUUAAAUAUUUUUACUAUUAUUAUUUGUUGUGAGCCCAUGAAUCGGUGGAAGUUCAUAUAUCAAUUAAAUUCAUGAAAAAAGUGGAUGAAAUACCAGUUUUGUU
This is a long non-coding RNA of Populus euphratica (Euphrates poplar), 575 nucleotides long. RefSeq lists it as uncharacterized. The transcript has 2 exons. NCBI's taxonomy places the organism in Eukaryota, Viridiplantae, Streptophyta, Magnoliopsida, Malpighiales, Salicaceae. The record is from RefSeq and is a predicted model, not a curated record.